AGAUUGAACGCUGGCGGCAGGCCUAACACAUGCAAGUCGAGCGGCAGCACGGGUACUUGUACCUGGUGGCGAGCGGCGGACGGGUGAGUAAUGCCUAGGAAUCUGCCUGGUAGUGGGGGAUAACGCUCGGAAACGGACGCUAAUACCGCAUACGUCCUACGGGAGAAAGCAGGGGACCUUCGGGCCUUGCGCUAUCAGAUGAGCCUAGGUCGGAUUAGCUUAGGUUGGUGAGGUAAUGGCUCACCAAGGCGACGAUCCGUAACUGGUCUGAGAGGAUGACCAGUCACA
This 288-nucleotide ribosomal RNA is filed under the name uncultured soil bacterium. Its description in RNAcentral is "partial 16S ribosomal RNA". It matches the Rfam family "Bacterial small subunit ribosomal RNA", at positions 26 to 312 of the family's 1533-position model. The record is from RNAcentral.